Molecule: long non-coding RNA, 782 nt
Organism: Eutrema salsugineum
Lineage: Eukaryota; Viridiplantae; Streptophyta; Magnoliopsida; Brassicales; Brassicaceae
Exons: 2
Source: RefSeq, a predicted model, not a curated record
CAAAAACCUUCUUCUCUCCAAUAAUAAAAUAAUCACGAAAAAAUUUAUUAGCAACUCCCUUAUCAGCAAAACUUUCUCCGAGGACAGUGUCUAAGGAUUUCUCCGAGGACGGUGUUUGAAGAUUUCUUCGAGGAUGGUGUUUCCUAGGAGGAGCAAAUUUGGAGCUUGGGGAUUUCGUGGUGGUUUUGUUUUGGAUGAGCUCGAUCUGUGAAGAUCUCCUGGUUUUUUUUCGAAGUAGUAGUAGAUUUUGUUGAAUUUGAGGAUUUGGUUCAAGAAUUGAGCUUCUUGAGCUUUAUGCUGCUCUUGGUUUUGUUAGAAGAAGAUUUGGUGGAGUUAAGUUUGGAUGACGUACCCAUGGAAGUCUUAACGAGUUCCAUGGUUUCAAAGGAGUAUCUCUAUAUAUAAGCUUCAACACUUGAGGAACAGUCUACCUGAUCAAGUUGUGGUCUAGAGAAUCGAGGAAUGACUGUCUGCUCUUGGAAAUUCCAUUGCCUGCAAUGUCCAUGUUGCUCUUCCUCACACCUUUCUGCGGGUAUGACUGUUAAUGACUGGACAGCAUCCUGCAGUUCAGACACAACCGGAACAGAGCUCUCUGUUAUAGACAAUAUCUUCAAGCGAAGAGAAGCCCAACCCAGCUCUAUUGUCGAUGAGAUGAGGAAGUCUUUGAUCGAUACCUAUGUAAAAUUUUGCUUGAUUGGAUGAAAAACACACAACAGUAUAUAUCCCCAAGCGUCAAUGUUAAAAAAUUUCAUAGCUACUGUGGUCUUUAUAGGCUCUCAAUA